RNAcentral lists this long non-coding RNA (4166 nucleotides) under Homo sapiens (human). RNAcentral's name for it is "HSALNT0193348". The record is from RNAcentral. Lineage: Eukaryota; Metazoa; Chordata; Mammalia; Primates; Hominidae.
AUGUUGGCCAAGCUGGUCUCAAACUCCUGAACUCAAGUGAUCUACCCACCUGGCUUCCCAAAGUGUUAGAAUUACAGGCAUGAGCCACCAUGCCCGGCCUAGGAAUCUUUGUAUUAUACUUACUGGUUGAGCAUUCCAAAUAGAAAUAUCUGAAAUCAGAAAUGCUCCUGUAAGCAUUUCCUUUGAGCGUCAUGUUGACGCUCAAAAAGUUUUGGAUUUUGGCUUUUGGAUUGAGAUGCUCGGCCUAUAGUAAAAGUGGUUAACAUCUAUUGAUUUCUUAUUGUGCACCCGGCAUGGAGUUAAACAUUUUAUAGACAUUACUGAAUUUAUUCCUCAAAACACCCCUAUUAUGUAGAAGUAGGAACUAAGGCUUAGAGUGAUUACAGGAUCCAAGAUUACACUGGUAGCAAACAGCACUGGUACAAGAUCUGUAUUCUGGGGACUAUCCUAAUGCAAAUGGUUCUGUAGGGAAAAUAAUAUGGUCCUUGCAUGCAGGAUGGAACAGAAGUUGGUGAAGGUCAUAAGUGACUAAGGUGGGGGAUGAUUGGGAGAUAUGGAAGAAACCAAUUCCAGAGAAAUGUCAGAGAAAGGUGCGGUGGUAUUGCUAAUAGGUUAGAGAGAUGGGGGAGGGCAGGCACUCAAGAUGACUAGCAGUUCUGAUUAGUAGUGGCACCAACAAAAUAGAAAAAAAUUAUUAACCUGACAUAUAGACAAAUACAGCUUUUUCACCCAGUGAGAGAACAUAAAUUUAAAAAAAUUUUUUUAAAUAGCUAAUAUUUGAAAGCACACACCUUUUUUUUUUUUUUUUUUUUUUUUGAGAGGAAGUCUCACUCUUGUCCCCCAGGCUGGAGUGCAAUGGCACGAUCUCAGCUCUCUGCAAUCUCCGCCUCCCGGGUUCAAGAGAUUCUCCUGCCUCAGCCUUCCGAGUAGCUGGGAUUACAGGCACCUGCCACCAUGCCUGGUUAAUUUUUGUAUUUUUAGUAGAGACAGGGUUUCAACAUGUUGGCCAGGUUGGUCUUGAACUCCUGACCUCAGGUGAUCCACCUGCCUCGGCCUCCCAAAGUCCUGGGAUUACAGGCGUGAGCCACCGUGCCUGGCUUUUUUUUUUUUUUUUAAAAAACAAAUACUUUCUUAUUUAAGACACACAAUCACUCCCAGAAGAGUGGAGUAUUACCUCUUUUACAGAUGGGAAACUGGAGGCUCAGAAAGGCUAUUUAGGACCUUGCCCCAGUGGUCACCCAGUUAAGAAGCUCGAAGAGCCAGAAUACAACCCACGUAGGUCCAGAGCCCCAGCUGUCCACCACUAUACUCAAGUGGCUGGAGAGGGCAUUUUAGAACACUUAAAAUGAAAACCAACUAAAAGAAAACCUAAUUCACACAUCAUUAAUAAAAGCCAGUUACUGUAUAGAAAGCAGACGGCCUGUAUUCUUAAAAAGAUGAUAGGCUUUAACUAUCUAGGGCAUGAAAAAAAAGUAGGAGUCUAAUUAUGGAUGCUCUUUCUUCUAAAGUAGAGAGAUAUGUGCAUCAAGUUAACAAGCACCAUUUCUGAGUUUUACAAAGAUGAAGUUUUAAAAUGUGAAUGAUCCUGACUUGUCAGCUUAGCAACAAUCACAGAAUUCAUUACUUACAUUUUCACUAAGGGGGGAGGGGUUAUCUAGGUCAGUCCACCUAGAUGUAAAAAUAGAUUUCUGCAAUGUUGAAAGAGUACACUGCCUCAUUAUUAUUCCAGUCUCAAAGGCUGAAAUAAGCCCAGCAAGACAGACCAUGUAGUUUCCCUGUUAUCUCAACAGGUAUUGAUUUUGAAUUUAAAAAAUGACCAUUCAGUAACUAAGAACUUCAUCUCAUGGAGUCUUUGCCCACUUCUAGGCAGAAACUCCAUAUCCCUGAAAGAUUAGUCGACUCUUCCCAUGACCCCCUAGUUCUCAUUGGCAUUUUUAGGGGAGCUAAUUCACCAAAUGAGUUCAUAAAAGGGUUCUUUUUAAAUCCUAUACUAGUUUCCUCCCAAGGAGAUGGUGACAUCAAGAAAUUAGCACUCGAUGUCUUCCUCUCGCAUCACAUACGUUCUGGGUGUCAGGAAAACAUAUCUUUACAGCUGCAUCCAAGUGAGUUCCACAAUACAGGAGCUACGAUCAUUUAAAUGGAUGAAUACUUUCUGCACAGUAAAAUUGUUGCUUUCCCUUCAUUACAACAGACUUAUUGUAGCCUCAGGACAGACUUGAAAUUACAUCAACCCUGCUUGAGAAAAGUUAUUAUUAUGAGUUUACAAAAAUUUCACUAGUUCUACCUAUUCCUCGCUGUCUCAACAAUAAAAAACCUAAAAGCAGAUAGCUGAGAAGUUUCAACUGGGACCUCAAGAAGUCCAGCAUCACUGUAGUAGAAUUUGUGAUUACGGUCUGCUGAAGUUCUAGCCCUUCUCUGAUUUCCUCUCUUCACUAGAUCUGACUGGCCCAAUGUGCUAAUUUACGAUAAUCCGCACAUAUAAUGUCUAACUCAGUUUUAAUACACAGCUUAUUUAAAAAUCGGGUAUCUCCAUGCUAACAAUACAAGGCAGCAGGUACAAUAACAUUGUCAGUAGAAUUGUUUUAUUUAUUUAUUUAUUUAUUUAUUUAUUUAUUUAAAGACAGAGUCUCGCUCUGUGCCCAGGCUGACGCGAUCUCGGUUCACUGCAACCUCCGCCUCCCGGGUUCAAGUGAUUCUCCGCCUCACCCUCCCGAGUAGCUGGGAUUACAGGCGCCCACCACCACGCCCGGCUAAUUUUUGUAUUUUUAGUAGAGACAGGGUUUCACCAUCUCGGCCAGGCUGGUCUUGAACUCCUGACCUGGUGAUCCACCUAUCUCGGCCUCUCAAAGUGGUGGGAUUACAGGCAUGAGCCACCGCCCCCGGCCCGUCAGCAGAAUUUUAAAGAAAAUCAAGAAAUCACAUAAGGUUUUGACCUUUUAAUAGAAAAGACUGGCGUAGACAGGCAACAGUGGCAGAUGCGGCAGAAACACUCUGCAGUUACCUUACACAAUUGCUUUACCACAUUCCACCUAAGCAGUUGAGGCACAAACUUUAUCACCACCAUUUUACAGGUUAUGAAGAGUGAGUUUUGUAAAGUUGCAUGAGUUUUGCCAAACCACUUAAAUGAGUUGACAAUGAGCCAUCCAUCCCGCUAAGAUUACUAAUCUUGUUUACACAAAGAAGAUCACAGUUGUGACAAGAAAAAACAAGCUUUCACAUUUCAAGUCUGCAAUAUUAACUUUACAGAAUCCUCUCAAUUACAAAUGCAUUCGAAGAUGAUCUCCUUUUCUUCAUAGUUCUGUUAACUAGCAUUACAGCUAUCCAAGAAGAAAUGUCUACCUGUGGGUAAGCACAUUUCUUCAAUGUUUAUUCCAAAUGGAGUUUCUGGUUAUUUUCACAGCAAACUGUUACGAAACUUAUACACAAAGUGCAAAAACAAGAGAAUUGUAAGAUUGAGAUGAGUGCAUGAGGUAUUAUUCCACCAAAUAUAUUCAAUCUGUAAAAACUCAAAUCAUCCUUCCAAAAUGAUUAACAGAUGCUAAAGGAAAAAGGGAAAGCGGGCAAAUAAACCAGAGACUCAUUGCUUCACUUCUGGGGCAAUCGAUUACUACUUCAAAUUAUGAGUGAAGACCAAAAUCCUGCACAAAGGGCCGCGACACAACCCCGUCACUAUUGCUACUAUUUCCAUCCAGUUGGUCUCUCGAUCUUGGAAGUGGCAGGCCAGAAUCUGAGCCCGGCUCUCCCUCCGUGAACUUUACACAGAGGCUGACACCCAAAUCCCCAGUUCUCGGACAAGCGAGUAAGUAGUUGGCGGAGCAAAGAACAACUCCAGGUGCCUCCUGCCAGAACAGAUGCCAGCGUGGAGGAGGUGCUUUGUUAAAUGGCACUUCAAUCAGCCCUGGGGAGAACGGGUUACAGAGCCUCACAUCCAGCCUCGACGAUUCAACAGCCCGGGAGGGCAAAGGCACUUACUGGGCAGCUGCCAUGUACCAGACGCUGGACUAGAGACCAGAGAUUUAAAGUAAAAAAAUGAAAUAAAAUAAAAACUCCCCCCGACCAUGAUUGCCCUGAGCAUAGAGCAUACUUCCACUUAAACUAAGAUCCUACUGUGUUGUGUAUUUUAAUUUUGCAUAUCUGGCUCACCUUUAUGUUUCUUUCUUUUUUUU